AGAACCCAUCUGAGAAAGUUACAGAAGGCAUCUCCGAUUCACAACACGCCCCCCGCCAACCCCCCACUGAAUAACACGUCGUCUGGCAACAGGAGGCGUUUGAUUACAUUUGGAUGGAACGCCUGCAUCAACUCCAGUUGUCCCCGAAUUGGAACUGCUGGGCCUCACGUGCUGCAGCCAACAGUUUGCCUUCACCCACUCCCCUCUCCGAAAUGAACCUUUCUCUGGGAAAACAAGAAACCUACGUGCCAUCCUGGGUGAGAGACGAACAAUGGCUGCGUCCCAGCAUCGCAUCCCAAGCGUGACAGGCAAGAGCACACUGAGGGGUUUCCAACAAUGAGCCACGCUUCAAGCAUCUCUGGAGAUGCCCUCUGAACCAGAGGACCCAAAUGUUCUCCCCGGAGCCCUGCGGUCUCUGUGUUUAAUUCA
This 429-nucleotide long non-coding RNA is filed under the name Lynx pardinus (Iberian lynx). The record is from RNAcentral. Lineage: Eukaryota; Metazoa; Chordata; Mammalia; Carnivora; Felidae.